GUGGGGAAUAUUGCACAAUGGGCGCAAGCCUGAUGCAGCCAUGCCGCGUGUGUGAAGAAGGCCUUCGGGUUGUAAAGCACUUUCAGCGAGGAGGAAGGCAUAAAGGUUAAUAACCUUUGUGAUUGACGUUACUCGCAGAAGAAGCACCGGCUAACUCCGUGCCAGCAGCCGCGGUAAUACGGAGGGUGCAAGCGUUAAUCGGAAUUACUGGGCGUAAAGCGCACGCAGGCGGUUUGUUAAGUCAGAUGUGAAAUCCCCGCGCUUAACGUGGGAACUGCAUUUGAAACUGGCAAGCUAGAGUCUUGUAGAGGGGGGUAGAAUUCCAGGUGUAGCGGUGAAAUGCGUAGAGAUCUGGAGGAAUACCGGUGGCGAAGGCGGCCCCCUGGACAAAGACUGACGCUCAGGUGCGAAAGCGUGGGGAGCAAACAGGAUUAGAUACCCGGGUAGUCC
RNAcentral lists this ribosomal RNA (450 nucleotides) under uncultured bacterium. RNAcentral's name for it is "bacterial SSU rRNA". It matches the Rfam family "Bacterial small subunit ribosomal RNA", at positions 354 to 796 of the family's 1533-position model. The record is from RNAcentral.